AGAUAUGGUUGGUCCGGUAACCGACGCACCACUGUUAUUUAAUGCUGCGACAGGUCUCCCGUCUACCCACAAGCUAAACACGCGUCUCACACGGCGUCGUCGUGAUGCUUUUCCAGUUCCCAACUUGGCGCACUCUUCCGUUUUACUCCUACAUUUAACGCUGCUUCCUAGAAUUGCAUCGAAACCCCACCUACGAAGGAAUCUCUCUCUUUCUCUUUCUCUUUCUUUAUCUCUAUCCUGCAUAUAUAUAAAUCCAUCCACCCAUUCCAACCCUUUUUCAAGAGUCCUAUAUCUCCAGAUCUGCUGCAAUACGAACCGAGACAUUCCUUUAAUAAACAAACGACACAAGGUGAAAGGAGAACAUGGGUCACAAUCAUCAUCACCAUAAUGAAAGGGUUAGUCCAUAUGAUGAUCCAUUCCUGGCGUGCUUUUGCUGCCCUUGUUACCUGGUCUCCUCCAUGUUCAGAGGGAUUGGGAGGUGCAUGUUUACGGCUUGUUACCCAGUCAUGCAUUGCUUUGGAUGGGAUAGAGAUCAAGGACCCCAGCAUCACCACCACCACAGGCAUUCCUAUUGAUCCUCAUUUUGGACGUCAACAAGGUUCUACAGUUGACACUUUUAGGUUCUUGGUAGUCCAAUUUUUAUUGUAGUGGUCAUGUAAUUGAUAACAAAAAUUGUACUGGUCAUGGGAUUUAGUGAGUGAGAUUUUAGGUGUAGGCUGCUAAUCCUGUUACGAUAUGAGAGUUUUGUGCAUACGGUAUUUGAUUUCUUCUCCAUAUAGUGUCCCCUGGAAUUCAUAUCCUUUCAUGAAUCUCCAUUUUUUUUUUUAAUCGCGUUUAUGAUCAUUUGAUUCAUUGAUGGGUUUGAGUGUUGUUUGA
This is an RNA transcript of Rhododendron vialii, 876 nucleotides long. RefSeq lists it as uncharacterized. The transcript is spliced from 2 exons. The record is from RefSeq and is a predicted model, not a curated record. NCBI's taxonomy places the organism in Eukaryota, Viridiplantae, Streptophyta, Magnoliopsida, Ericales, Ericaceae.